AUUGAACGCUGGCGGCAUGCUUUACACAUGCAAGUCGAACGGUAACAGGCCUUCGGGUGCUGACGAGUGGCGAACGGGUGAGUAAUGCAUCGGAACGUGCCCAGAGGUGGGGGAUAACGCAGCGAAAGCUGUGCUAAUACCGCAUGUGAUCUGAGGAUGAAAGCGGGGGACCAGGCAGCAAUGUUUGGCCUCGCGCCUUUGGAGCGGCCGAUGUCAGAUUAGGUAGUUGGUGGGGUAAAGGCCUACCAAGCCGACGAUCUGUAGCUGGUCUGAGAGGACGACCAGCCACACUGGGACUGAGACACGGCCCAGACUCCUACGGGAGGCAGCAGUGGGGAAUUUUCGACAAUGGGCGCAAGCCUGAUCCAGCAAUGCCGCGUGCGGGAAGAAGGCCUUCGGGUUGUAAACCGCUUUUGUACGGAACGAAAAGGCUCUGGCUAAUACCUGGGGCUGAUGACGGUACCGUAAGAAUAAGCACCGGCUAACUACGUG
This 492-nucleotide ribosomal RNA is filed under the name uncultured bacterium. Its description in RNAcentral is "partial 16S ribosomal RNA". It matches the Rfam family "Bacterial small subunit ribosomal RNA", at positions 30 to 507 of the family's 1533-position model. The record is from RNAcentral.